This 484-nucleotide ribosomal RNA is filed under the name uncultured bacterium. RNAcentral's name for it is "partial 16S ribosomal RNA". It matches the Rfam family "Bacterial small subunit ribosomal RNA", at positions 30 to 507 of the family's 1533-position model. The record is from RNAcentral.
AUUGAACGCUAGCGGGAUGCUUUACACAUGCAAGUCGAACGGCAGCGCGGACUUCGGUCUGGCGGCGAGUGGCGAACGGGUGAGUAAUGUAUCGGAACGUGCCCAGUAGCGGGGGAUAACUACGCGAAAGCGUAGCUAAUACCGCAUACGCCCUACGGGGGAAAGCAGGGGAUCGUAAGACCUUGCACUAUUGGAGCGGCCGAUAUCGGAUUAGAUAGUUGGUGAGGUAACGGCUCACCAAGGCGACGAUCCGUAGCUGGUUUGAGAGGACGACCAGCCACACUGGGACUGAGACACGGCCCAGACUCCUACGGGAGGCAGCAGUGGGGAAUUUUGGACAAAGGAGGCAACCCUGAUCCAGCCAUCCCGCGUGUGCGAUGAAGGCCUUCGGGUUGUAAAGCACUUUUGGCAGGAAAGAAACGUCGCGGGCUAAUACCCCGUGGAACUGACGGUACCUGCAGAAUAAGCACCGGCUAACUACGUG